RNAcentral lists this ribosomal RNA (425 nucleotides) under Nephropsis grandis. Its description in RNAcentral is "partial large subunit ribosomal RNA". It matches the Rfam family "Bacterial large subunit ribosomal RNA", at positions 1967 to 2598 of the family's 2925-position model. The record is from RNAcentral. Lineage: Eukaryota; Metazoa; Arthropoda; Malacostraca; Decapoda; Nephropidae.
AUUAGGCUUUUAAUUGGGGUCUUGUAUGAAUGGCCGGACAAGAAGCUAUCUGUCUCGAGAAUAAAAAUUGAAAUUGACUUUCAGGUGAAAAGGCUUGAAUAUUUUAAAGGGACGAUAAGACCCUAUAAAGCUUAAUAAUUUAUAUAUAUUUAAAUAAUUUGUUAGUAUAAUAUAAUUUAAUUUAUAAAUUAUUUCGUUGGGGCGACGGUAAUAUAAUUUGUAACUGUUUAAGUACUUAAUUCAAAAAUAUUUGUGUUUAGUGAUCUGUUGUUGACAAUUAAAAGUUAAAGUUACUUUAGGGAUAACAGCGUUAUUUAUUUUGAGAGUUCAUAUCGACAAAGAAGUUUGCGACCUCGAUGUUGAAUUAAAAUUUUAUCUCGGCGUAGCAGUUAAGAUAGUAGGUCUGUUCGACCUUUAAAAUUUUA